This is a non-coding RNA of Schistosoma rodhaini, 51 nucleotides long. The record is from Rfam. NCBI's taxonomy places the organism in Eukaryota, Metazoa, Platyhelminthes, Trematoda, Strigeidida, Schistosomatidae.
AUCCAGCUGACGAGUUCUAAAUAGGACGAAGUGUCGCGCAUCGAACUGGAU